Alosa alosa (allis shad) is the source of this 2526-nucleotide long non-coding RNA. RefSeq lists it as uncharacterized. The record is from RefSeq and is a predicted model, not a curated record. Lineage: Eukaryota; Metazoa; Chordata; Actinopteri; Clupeiformes; Clupeidae. The transcript is spliced from 4 exons.
GUUUCGUAUCCUUUUCUCCAAGUACACAGCCUUUUUUCCUCGAGUUUGAGAAGAUUGUCGGACUUGAGAUUUUCAGAUAUCUGAAGAAUUUUAUCGAAUCACCAGCAGAGACCUCCGGGCAACUUGGAAUGCAUCCCUUGGUAUGUGCCUCGCCUGAUAAAACCGUACCGAGCCAGAAAGCCAGCUUUUGGUCCAGAUAUGGAGAUGUUGCUGAAUAAACUUGAUGAAGAGACAACAGACAUUGUGCGUCAUCGAAGGACUGCAGCACUGAGAGGCCUUCCCAAUUUUGUUUGUGACAAUGCAUCAGACUUCUAUCAGACUAAUAUCUUCUAUUAAGUGUGUGAACACAGACCCUGAGGGAAAAAAAAAGGUGGUUAAAAGAGUGCCCGUUGCAAUACUUACCGUCUAUGAAGAUGAUGAUGCUGCCGCAUCAGCAACAGUGACUGACAUCGCUGUCAUUUUGGAAGGGGCAGUAAUACUACACGACCUACCUGACUUCGCAGCUGCCUUCGCCUGCCUGUUUAGCCUUUUGUAUGCAAUGAACAUAAACUAUCCAGAGCAGAUGAGGUACACCUUCGAGGCUAUCCAGAACAUCUUUUUCGAUCUUGGUUCAAGAUGCUCACAGCACACGCGAUCCUUGAAAGAGAAGCUGUUGCUGUGAAGCCUGUGUAUAAUUGACACUCACACGGACAUAAACACGCAUGCACACACACACAGCUCUGUCAUAACUCCACCAUGAACACACACACACAGCUCUUCUCUGCCAAUUACUACAUGGACAGGCCUGUACACACACACUGUUCUCCAACAACUUCUCCAAGAACAAGCAUGCUGCACGUGCACAGCGAGAGGAAAAAGCAGUUCUCAAGAAGCUAUGCUCCUCUGUGCUUUCUUUUAGCAGUUAAGAUAACUCAUUAAGUUCAUUGUGGGUUUAUUUUUAUAAUGUAUGUGGUUUAUGUUGUUGUUUUGUAUCUUGUAGGGCUGCACGAUAUAUCUAAAAUCUAUCAUUUUCGCGAAAUCAACGCUUGCGAUGGACAUCCCGCAAAGAUUACUACAUUUUCGAUACAUUUCGAUACAUUUUCUGUCCCAUGCGCUUUCCAUACAGUCUAUGGUGUGUUCACAUUCUGAAUGUCAACAUAUUUUACCAAACCGAUGCUGUCAUGCUGCCUUAGAAGCCCGUCGCCUACCAGUUUAGGUGUGUGGUGUUUCAGGUGUUGAGGCGGGAGCUAAGUCGUGAUGGCUGAAGAUAGUGAGUCGAGCGAGGUAGCUACACUUGGGUGAAGAUAGUGAGUCAAGGUAGCUACACUUGGGUGAAGAUAGUGAGUCGAGCGAGGUAGCUACACUUGGGUGAAGAUAGUGAGUCGAGCGAGGUAGCUACACUUGGGUGAAGAUAGUGAGUCAAGGUAGCUACACUUGGGUGAAGAUAGUGAGUCGAGCGAGGUAGCUACACUUGGGUGAAGAUAGUGAGUCAAGGUAGCUACACUUGGGUGAAGAUAGUGAGUCGAGCGAGGUAGCUACACUUGGGUGAAGAUAGUGAGUCGAGCGAGGUAGCUACACUUGGGUGAAGAUAGUGAGUGGAGUGAGGUAGCUACACUUGGGUGAAGAUAGUGAGUCGAGCGAGGUAGCUACACUUGGGUGAAGAUAGUGAGUGGAGCGAGGUAGCUACACUUGGGUGAAGAUAGUGAGCGAGGUAGCUACACUUGGGUGAAGAGGGAUUGGUGACUAAAAGGAAAAGCACGUCUGUUCUAUGGAAAUAUUUUGGUUUUAUGAAGACUGACGUGUUACAAACACAGCGCCAAAUGCGUCCUUCUCCACCGUGUUAAAAUAAACAAUUUAUUUUGUUAUCGUUCUAUCAGAAGGUAUCUGUCUUUCACUGUAAGACUUGUAUUUCAUGAUUUGCAUUUAGCAAAAGCCCCAGACAGCAGCAGAGAGGUAAUCAGGAUUCGUUAUUUGAAAAAGUUGUUUAGCCUACUUCUUAGCCUGGACUGUGUGAUUGCAGCCCAAUUACUUUCACUUUCCGCUGCCCUCGUAGUCGGCAUGCCGGUAGCCUAAUAACGUGGGAUGCGCAGCGCAUAAGGUUACAGACUGAAAUGACCGCCGCGAUAUAGCUUAAGUAACUUUUUCACUAGGCCCAUCGAAGGCUGGCAAUGUGGAAUAUUCCGCUGGUUGGUGCACAAGUGCUCAGAUUGGCUGUCUAUCCGUCUUUUACGAGGAUUUUCUUGGAGCAGAUCUUUCACACAACCUCGAUAGCCUAGUGAAGUCAGUAGGUCUCUUAGCUCGCCACUUUCAUCAGGCCAUACAUAGCCUAGGCUACAUAAUAUUUUAUAUUGUUUAUGUAGAAAAUUAUACAUUUAUUUCUGUAAUUAUACAUAUCCCCCACGCCCCCCAACCCUACAGUCUAUGCUAGUAGCAAGCAGAAUGGAGAAAAACAUUACAUACUGUUCAAAAACAUUAAGGGAACACUUCAAUCAUACACUGGAUCGGUACUCUGACACUGUUUGGUUCUGAGCACAAGUAAAACUUUUG